This 611-nucleotide long non-coding RNA is filed under the name Hordeum vulgare. RNAcentral's name for it is "long non-coding RNA (HVUL_LNC009727)". Lineage: Eukaryota; Viridiplantae; Streptophyta; Magnoliopsida; Poales; Poaceae. The record is from RNAcentral.
AGCUAAGGUCUUGAGUUCAAGUCCUGGUUUACGCAAUUUAUUAAAAAAAUUGCCGGUAGCCCCCCUUUGUGUCCACGUAGAGGCCUCUUGAGUCAUACGUGAGUUUCGCGCGCCGUUGCUCUCUUUCGGUUGCACGUGUUGACUUGUCUUCCCCGUCACACGUGAGAGGGGGUGUUACAGUAUAUGUGGAUUGCACUAGCCCUUUCCAUCAGUUCGGACUUUCGGUUGCGUUGGUUAACUUUUGCACGCCGCAACUCGUGCUGUUGAUCCGCUCCACGCCGCCGCCCUCCUCUCUGGCUCGUUCCCGUCAGGCAGCGGCUCCUCCUCAUCACCUCGUGCCAGCGCCUGCCUCCUGCUCCCGAUCGAAGUCUUCCUCGAUGUCCUUCUCCUUCCCGUUUUGCUGCAGAUCGAAGCCAUCUCCAAACAACUGCUGGUUCCCGUGGGAUAGAAGCACUGCAGGCCCCGCUCCUGAUCGAAGCCGUCUCCAACUGCUGCUGGUUCCCGUGGGAUAGAAGCCCCGCUCCAGAUAGGUUGUUCCCGAUUGAAGCGCUCCAGAUCGAAGACCACGACCUCUCGUGAUCGAAGCGCUCCAGGCCCACCGAAAUCUCCUC